Molecule: ribosomal RNA, 449 nt
Filed under: uncultured bacterium
Lineage: Bacteria
Description: bacterial SSU rRNA
Rfam family: Bacterial small subunit ribosomal RNA
Source: RNAcentral
UGGGGAAUCUUGCGCAAUGGGCGAAAGCCUGACGCAGCGACGCCGCGUGGAGGAUGAAGGUCUUCGGAUUGUAAACUUCUGUUAAGUGGGAAGAAAUGCCCAUUCCUAAUACGAAUGGGAGAUGACUGUACCAUUAGAGAAAGCACCGGCUAAACUCGUGCCAGCAGCCGCGGUAAUACGAGUGGUGCAAGCGUUAUUCGGAAUAAUUGGGCGUAAAGGGUGUGUAGACGGCAUAUUAAGUCAAUUGUUAAAUUCUCCGGCCUAACCGGAGGCCUGCAGUAGAAACUGAUGUGCUAGAGGGUGGAAGAGAGAAGUGGAAUUCUCGGAGUAGCGGUAAAAUGCGUAGAUCUCGAGAGGAACACCAAUGGCGAAGGCAGCUUCUUGGUCCAUUACUGACGUUGAGACACGAAAGCGUGGGGAGCAAACAGGAUUAGAUACCCCUGUAGUCC